This 349-nucleotide unclassified non-coding RNA is filed under the name Hevea brasiliensis (rubber tree). Lineage: Eukaryota; Viridiplantae; Streptophyta; Magnoliopsida; Malpighiales; Euphorbiaceae. The record is from RNAcentral.
UGAAACCAAAAGAAAAACUGAACUAGAACUCUAGCAGUUCAAAGGAGCUACGCUGCAGAGCUGCCGGUUUUCCACACAAAGUAUAUACAGAACACACAUAUCUCUAGUGGCAAAUAGAUCAUUGGCCAAUCUGUUUAUGUAUCUAUCUAGCAACCCAGAGGUCAUGACCCAUCAAUCUUAUGAUCUUCAGAGCUAUGACUCUGUAUCUUAUCCCAUUUUCUUGAUCAUGCUCCAGGAAGAACAUUACCUUGUCACUGGGAACAAGAUCUUUCUUCUUAAUAAAGGGAUGCCACAAGGAACGGAGAAGAACUGGUUUUGGAUAUCGUCCAGUGGAACGGGUUGAUAGUUG